Catharus ustulatus (Swainson's thrush) is the source of this 71-nucleotide non-coding RNA. The record is from the annotation of a RefSeq genome assembly. NCBI's taxonomy places the organism in Eukaryota, Metazoa, Chordata, Aves, Passeriformes, Turdidae.
GCAUUGGUGGUUCAGUGGUAGAAUUCUCGCCUGCCAAGCAGGAGGCUGGGGUUCGAUUCCCAGCCAAUGCA